RNAcentral lists this long non-coding RNA (456 nucleotides) under Drosophila guanche. The record is from RNAcentral. Lineage: Eukaryota; Metazoa; Arthropoda; Insecta; Diptera; Drosophilidae.
AGAACUUAAAACUGAAGUUAUCCAAGUAACCUUGGCCCAAUGAUACAAAUAAAAAUAUUAACAAUUUAUAGAUUGGAAAAUAGCCUAAUGCUAAUGAAUAUCAGCGGCACGUGUAGCACUGCAGACUACAAUUAUUACUUUUUGAUGGGACAAGUCAAAUACACCUGCAAAUACCCUCACAAGUUCCAGCUCUGGCACCUUGAUCAAAUCCAUGAAUUACCGCCUAAGCGUUACAGAUCCCAUAGGAAAGAGAGGUGAACCUUUUUAGAGCUCCCUUCGUAUGUUGAUAAGAUAUGGUAUGUCUGGUAAUUAGAAGUGACUGGCAAUAUUGAUAAGAUUACUUGAUAGCGAGGACUAGAUGUACUAUGAAAGAUUUCCAUAGCUUCCAGACGGAGGCGUGGCAGUUCUUAUCAACAAACAUGUUGAGAGUGUCUGGAAUUUAACAACAAGCCCAAU